Molecule: long non-coding RNA, 336 nt
Filed under: Elaeis guineensis (African oil palm)
Lineage: Eukaryota; Viridiplantae; Streptophyta; Magnoliopsida; Arecales; Arecaceae
Description: long non-coding RNA (EGUI_LNC038168)
Source: RNAcentral
UCAUUUUGAACGGUGAGUAUGGGUGGGAGGACAGAGGUCUUAUGUUAGAUGAGUUCUAAAGGCUACUAGAAAGCCCAAAGUGAUGUGCAGUGGAAAAUAACUUAUUGUUCUCAUGCUACUUCCAAUUGCUUUUUAAUCCAACUUUGCUGGCAAAGUUGUCCUCCUCUUUCAUCUCCAGGUUUUAGCUCCACCCUAUGUUAGUGACUUGUUUGUCAGCAAUUUCCCACAACUGUGCUUUCAGUGCUUCGUGCUCUUCCCUUAUGCCAUCUGUAUCUAGUCUGUUGGAUACUGGCAAGUUGUCAGAUGAGCCAUUUGGAUUUUGCAAAAAAAAAAAAA